UCCCUGAUGGUCUAGUGGUUAGGAUUCUGCGCUUUCACUGCCGUGGCCCGGGUUCGAUUCUCGGUCAGGGAA
This 72-nucleotide transfer RNA is filed under the name Danionella translucida. It matches the Rfam family "tRNA". Rfam says of the family: Transfer RNA (tRNA) molecules are approximately 80 nucleotides in length. Lineage: Eukaryota; Metazoa; Chordata; Actinopteri; Cypriniformes; Danionidae. RNAcentral also lists the same sequence under 1 other name. The record is from Rfam by way of RNAcentral.